Long non-coding RNA from Panicum virgatum (switchgrass), 1713 nucleotides. RefSeq lists it as uncharacterized. The transcript has 6 exons. The record is from RefSeq and is a predicted model, not a curated record. Lineage: Eukaryota; Viridiplantae; Streptophyta; Magnoliopsida; Poales; Poaceae.
GAUGGCUUUCCUACAUUAUUUUAUCAAAAACACUGGAGCAUGCUGCAUGAUGACAUUUGCCAAGCUGUAAGGAAUUUCUUAGAAGGAGAUGAUAUACCAGAUGGUCUAUGUGACACAACAAUUGUCCUCAUUCCAAAGGGGGUCCUUCAGCAGAUGGGUUUCACACAGGGGUGGAUUAAAAGCGUUAUGCGCUAUGUCUCCUCAGUUCGUUACUCGGUGAGAGUAAAUGGAGAGCUAACAGAAUCUUUUACACCUUCUAGAGGGCUGAGAUAGGGUGAUCCUAUUAGUCCCUAUCUGUUUUUACUUUGUGCUGAAGGCCUCUCUUGCUUAUUGAAGAAGGAGGAACAAGCAGGUCGUCUAAAAGGGACAUAUAGCCAAGCAUCGGGGCAAAGGAUUAAUCUACAGAAAUCAUACUUGUUUUUUGGCCAUCACUGCCCUGCUGAAAUUAAACAGAAGGUAAUGAAUUCUCUGAAUGUGUAUAAUGUGGCUCUCCAAUCUACUUAUCUUGGCAUGCCAACCUAUGUGGGCCAAUCAAAAGUGAAUACUUUUAAUUUUAUUUCUGAAAGAAUGUGAAAACGUGUACAAGGUUGGAAUGAUAGGCCAAUGUCUAGAGCAGGGAAGGAAAUAAUGCUUAAAUCAGUGGCACAGGCCAUUCCCACAUAUGUCAUGAGUUGUUUUCGGCUCCCUGAUAGUAUUUGCGAAAAUUUGAGAGCUACAAUAUCAAACCAUUGGUGGGGCUUCGAGGGGGGCAAAAAGAAAAUGCAUUGGCGUUCUUGGGACUGGUUGACAACUCCAAAAUUCUUGGGAGGGUCCUUAAAGGGAGAUAUUAUCCGAAGUGUUCCUUUAUGGAUUCAGGUGUCACAAGAUCAUGUUCUUUUACAUGGCGAAGCUUAAUGUUUGGGAAAAGUCUUCUGGAGCGUGGUAUUUUUUGGCGAGUAGGUGAUGGAAAAGAAAUUAGAAUUAUAAAAGAUAGAUGGGUCCCUAGUGUACCUUGUCAUCCUAUCCAUCCUAUUGUUCAAAUGUCUGAUGAUCUCAAGACGGGUGCUUACACGGUUAAAUCAGCCUAUAUCAUGGUUAAAUGUGUGGCUGCUUACUUAAAGGAGAGUGUCAACGGCAAAGGAGGUUCAUCAAAUCAAGCUGCUAUUGCAGAAGAAUGGAAGCGGAUAUGGAGUAUAAACGCUCCACCAAAGAUGAAAAUUAUUUUAUGGUGAUUUGCACAUGACUGUCUUCCAACAGGACAACAACUCAGAAGGAGGAACAUAUCUACUUGUGACUUUUGUUGUCACUGUGGGAGACAUGAGACCAUUGAACACACUUUUAUCUCCUGUCAAUAUGUGGCUGAAAUAUGGAGGGAAUUGAAGAAGAGAUCGGGUUUCAAAAGUUUAGUCAAAUAUUUUGUGUCACCCAGGGACUGGAUUUCUCAAAUGUUGGCAGGCUGUACAGAAAUGGAGGCCACUAUCCUUGUCAUAGCAAUUUGGCAUAUUUGGGAGUCUAGAAGUGCGGUGCGGAAUGGUGUGAUUCUCCUAGGCGUAAAAAAUGGGAUCCACCGCCGGAAGGAUGGGUGAUGGUAAAUGUUGACGCAGCAGUGUUCCAAAGGGCUAAUCGCAUGGGGAUGGGUAUUGUAAUCAGAAAUCACAAAAGUGAGUUCCUGGCUGCUUACAGACAGGGUUUGGACAGGAUCAUUGAGCCAGAACUUGCAGAGGCUUUUGCUUU